UUUUCAGGAUCCCUUCUCGUCUGCUGCCUAGAUUCUUUGGAAAGUCCUCUCCCUUGAAUCAUUCCCCCUACCUUUUAUCUGGGGCUCUGUGGCAGGGCAUCAAUGGUGCCUGCCACUUUAAGGGCUAGAUCAAACACUCAGCAGGUGUUUGAUUGCAGUAGCCAUUUUAGAACUCUAGCCACCUAUAUAAACAAGAGCAGCUUACUGCUGGGAGUCAGGCAAGAAACAUUCAUUGCCUGGCUGAGCUGCUGCAUGGGAACAUCUUGCAGAAUCUCUGUGGUAUGUCUGUCUUGAAGGAUCAUGUCUUGGAAUUGGUUGGCCCUGAGCUCUGCUGCCCUUAAAGGAGAAGAACCAUCCUGUUACCUUCUUAUAUUUUACAGUUCUACUGUUUUACUAAAAUUUGAAGAAAUGGAGAUAUUGCUGCCAAGAUGGAAAGUGGAAGAGAAACUUGGUAAAAGGAGAAAGUUGAGUUUUCUGUUUUGUUUUUGUUUUGUUUUCAGUAGUCUUUUUUUUUUUUUUUUUUUUUUUUUUGG
Molecule: long non-coding RNA, 533 nt
Organism: Alligator mississippiensis (American alligator)
Lineage: Eukaryota; Metazoa; Chordata; Crocodylia; Alligatoridae
Exons: 3
Source: RefSeq, a predicted model, not a curated record